ACGCUCGACACCUACGGGGGGCAGCAGUGGGGAAUAUUGCACAAUGGGGGAAACCCUGAUGCAGCGAUGCCGCGUGAAGGAAGAAGUAUCUCGGUAUGUAAACUUCUAUCAGCAGGGAAGAAAAUGACGGUACCUGACUAAGAAGCCCCGGCUAACUACGUGCCAGUAGCCGCGGUAAUCUGAGCGGGCUGGCAAGGC
Molecule: ribosomal RNA, 198 nt
Filed under: uncultured bacterium
Lineage: Bacteria
Description: partial 16S ribosomal RNA
Rfam family: Bacterial small subunit ribosomal RNA
Source: RNAcentral